This is a long non-coding RNA of Boleophthalmus pectinirostris (great blue-spotted mudskipper), 1392 nucleotides long. RefSeq lists it as uncharacterized. The transcript has 4 exons. Lineage: Eukaryota; Metazoa; Chordata; Actinopteri; Gobiiformes; Gobiidae. The record is from RefSeq and is a predicted model, not a curated record.
UCUUAUUUGUAACGUGGAGUUCAGCCCAGGACGGAGGCUAUCCUCAUGUGAACCGUGUUGGCCCCGCUCCCUGGUAAACAUGACGCAGGGAACCUCCAUCGUUUCUCCGGCUCGGUGUUUGGCUCGGCCGCGUCCUCAUCACUGCAGCCUCUGACACACUUGGGGGAGAGCACAGUGGAAGUGCCCCAGACCUGCUCCCUUCAAGUGCCUCUAUAUUUAGACCCUUUGUGCGUCACUGCGUCUCCGGAGCAACUGCCUCUGAUGCUUUGGGCUCGUCACUGAUUGGCCGGUGUGCGAUCUACAACUUCCAGGCUUCUCGCAAAGCAGAGCCUCUGCUCUGCACUAGUUGGCACCAGACUGGCUACUAAAUUCUAGCUGUAGUUUCACUUGGGCUUUUCAUGCCACAGUUGUAACCAAUUGUAAGCUGUCUAGAAGACUGCAUUAAAGGAGCAAGACGCUCAGUUUCCUGGCUCAUGAAAAGCGAGUAUGACUUACUGUUGAUCUGCGUUUACAUACACGAUGUAUCCAACACGUAGUGAUAACAGUACAAAGUGAAUUGGGGCCUGUUUACAAAAGAAAGCUUGCAGGUAAAAAUGUCAAAAUAUUUUAUCGGAAGUGUCUUUCGUUUAGAUGGUGAUGGCGUUUUGGGGCUUAAAAAUGCAAAAUCUGAAACCACCCUCCAGAGAGGAAAAGUUGAAUACGCUCCGCUGUAGCAUUUCCAUCUACACUGGCCAAGACACAAAACUCUGUUCAGAUCUGCUCACGUCGCGUACGCAUUUACGUCACAUACAUACAGUACAUAGAAACCUGACAUGCAUACCCAAUCCAAUUCCACACACUUUUGCGUCACCGUAUGCACACAGAUUUAGUCCCGAAAAACGCUCGUCUAAACAGAAUAAAAAGUGAAGCCGCGACACCACUUUUGCGUCUUCUGUUGAGACGGUCAUCAUUUAAAUGUAGCCUUAGUGAACUCAAUGUUGAUAUAGGGAAAGGAUUCGACACCAUAAAUAUGAGGAAAACCACUCUUCUGAAGACAAUGGAAUGUUAUUUUCAUCACAAAAUAUUAGUAAUUUAUUUUAUUUUUUCAGUACAACAAAAUGGUUUUGUUAAAGGGCCAAUGUUACUUUAUUCUCUGGUUUAUGUUGUAAUGUUGUUUCCUCAUUAAAAACAUACGUGGACUUGUGUUUUCUUUUAUUCACACAUGGUUAACACACAAAUCAUACAUACAGUUUUUAGGUUGAGUUCUUCUCUCAUUCAGAAAACAUGCUGUUUGAUCUUGUGACGUCAUGUGAUAAUACACGAAGUGCUCCUUGGUGUUUUUAAACUCCAUACACUUUCACUAGAAUCAUUUGGAUGAUUUCAGUAGUGGAAAAGCCAAUCUCUACUGAACUA